UACGUAGGUGGCAAGCGUUGUCCGGAAUUAUUGGGCGUAAAGCGCGCGCAGGCGGUCCUUUAAGUCUGAUGUGAAAGCCCACGGCUCAACCGUGGAAGGUCAUUGGAAACUGGAGGACUUGAGUACAGAAGAGGAAAGCGGAAUUCCACGUGUAGCGGUGAAAUGCGUAGAGAUGUGGAGGAACACCAGUGGCGAAGGCGGCUUUCUGGUCUGUAACUGACGGUGAGGCGCGAAAGCGUGGGGGAGCAAACAGG
RNAcentral lists this ribosomal RNA (254 nucleotides) under uncultured bacterium. RNAcentral describes it as "partial 16S ribosomal RNA". It matches the Rfam family "Bacterial small subunit ribosomal RNA", at positions 524 to 776 of the family's 1533-position model. The record is from RNAcentral.